RNAcentral lists this long non-coding RNA (845 nucleotides) under Sorghum bicolor (sorghum). RNAcentral's name for it is "long non-coding RNA (SBIC_LNC004779)". Lineage: Eukaryota; Viridiplantae; Streptophyta; Magnoliopsida; Poales; Poaceae. The record is from RNAcentral.
CCCUUAGAGAAAAAGGAAAAAGCUUCCAACGUAAAGUCUUAUCAGAAAUGCCUUCAAUGCGAAGACAAUCACAUGUUUGCUCAAAAUCUCUAAUAUGAAGGUAAGGGUUUUCGUCUUCCUUUCCCGAAAAAGAUAGGUUUUGAAUCAUGGCAAUCAACCUAGAACUUAACUUAUACUGGGGUGUUUGGAUAGGCUGUGAUGAUUCCCAUGGUAAAAGGUCAGUUGCUAAAGGGAUUGCAGACUCAUGGAUCGAUUUAGAAUUUUGGUUUUCCAUAAGGUAAGAAUAAAGAAAAUAAAUAAAGAAUAUAAAAGAUAAAAAAGAUAAAAGUAUAGAUACAAGCUAGUAGCAAGACACAGGUUAUCUCAGCAACCGUCUUUCUCUCCGGCAACGGCGCAAGAAAUGCUUGUUGAUAUUUGGGAACGCAAUAAGGAAUUGAUCCGCAAGCGCACGGAUAUCGGUGAGCACUUCACCCGGGAAAUUAUCCAGAGUAUCGUAUUUAUUUUUUUACCACUAGGAGAAAGAGUGCAUCUGACUAACCGGUCUAUUACUACUAACCUUUAGGCACAAAGAAUGUCUUUCGAUGUGAGUGAUAAAUAGAGAAGACUGCAACCGUAGUCUCCUUCUAACCUUGGUAAGGAUGAUCUACUGUUCUAAUGGGGAGGCUAACGGAAUCUAGACACCACAAAGGAUGUUCGACCCGCACCUAUAAAUCCUAUCCUUCCUGCUAACGAGAUGUGAUCUACAAAGGUAGCUCAGAAUUGUCACGUUCCUCACUACUACAACGGUCCAGCUAGUCAGGGAAUAUCUAUGAGUACCCCAGCCUAAACACCACGUUUACGCCAGC